RNAcentral lists this transfer RNA (89 nucleotides) under Achromobacter ruhlandii. Its description in RNAcentral is "tRNA-Ser". It matches the Rfam family "tRNA". Rfam says of the family: Transfer RNA (tRNA) molecules are approximately 80 nucleotides in length. Their secondary structure includes four short double-helical elements and three loops (D, anti-codon, and T loops). Lineage: Bacteria; Pseudomonadati; Pseudomonadota; Betaproteobacteria; Burkholderiales; Alcaligenaceae. RNAcentral also lists the same sequence under 1 other name. The record is from RNAcentral.
GGGCAGUUGGCAGAGAGGCCGAUUGCAGCGGGUUGCUAACCCGCAGGCCCGUGUCGGGUCCGCAGGUUCGAAUCCUGCACUGCCCGCCA